GUAGGGAGCGAGCGUUGUCCGAAUUUACUGGGCGUAAAGCGCGCGUAGGCGGGUUUUUAAGUUGGGGGUGAAAUGCCGAGGCUUAACCUCGGAACUGCCUCCAAAACUGGGAGCCUUGAGGUUUGGAGAGGGAAGUGGAAUUCCAGGUGUAGCGGUGAAAUGCGUAGAUAUCUGGAGGAACACCCGUGGCGAAGGCGGCUUCCUGGCCAUAUCCUGACGCUGAGGUGCGAAAGCUAGGGGAGCGAACGGGAUUAGAUACCCCGGUAGUCCUAGCCGUAAACGAUGGAUACUAGGUGUUAGAGGUAUCGACCCCUCUAGUGCCGGAGCUAACGCAUUAAGUAUCCCGCCUGGGGAGUACGACCGCAAGGUUG
RNAcentral lists this ribosomal RNA (371 nucleotides) under uncultured bacterium. RNAcentral's name for it is "bacterial SSU rRNA". It matches the Rfam family "Bacterial small subunit ribosomal RNA", at positions 527 to 896 of the family's 1533-position model. The record is from RNAcentral.